This 240-nucleotide unclassified non-coding RNA is filed under the name plant metagenome. RNAcentral's name for it is "partial contains small subunit ribosomal RNA, internal transcribed spacer 1, and 5.8S ribosomal RNA". The record is from RNAcentral.
UCUCCGAUGGUGAACCAGCGGAGGGAUCAUUGCAGGACUCGCCAGACUCCUACCACCCUGUGAACUUAACUAUCUGCACGUUGCUUCGGCGGGUGUCUCGGUGGGGGUUCUCCCUCCCCUAGCCGCUAAACCCGCCGCCCGCCUACUAUACUCUGUCUCUUUGCGUUGGCAUCCCGAGUACAAUCAAGCAGGUUAAAACUUUCAACAGCGAAUCUCUUGGUUCUGGCAUCGAUGAAGAAC